This 473-nucleotide ribosomal RNA is filed under the name uncultured bacterium. Its description in RNAcentral is "bacterial SSU rRNA". It matches the Rfam family "Bacterial small subunit ribosomal RNA", at positions 28 to 498 of the family's 1533-position model. The record is from RNAcentral.
GAUGAACGCUGGCGGCGUGCUUAACACAUGCAAGUCGAACGAAGCACUCUAUUUGAUUUUCUUCGGAAAUGAAGAUUUUGUGACUGAGUGGCGGACGGGUGAGUAACGCGUGGGUAACCUGCCCCAUACAGGGGGAUAACAGUUGGAAACGACUGCUAAUACCGCAUAAGCGCACAGGAUCGCAUGGUCCGGUGUGAAAAACUCCGGUGGUAUGGGAUGGACCCGCGUCUGAUUAGCCAGUUGGCAGGGUAACGGCCUACCAAAGCGACGAUCAGUAGCCGACCUGAGAGGGUGACCGGCCACAUUGGGACUGAGACACGGCCCAAACUCCUACGGGAGGCAGCAGUGGGGAAUAUUGCACAAUGGGGGAAACCCUGAUGCAGCGACGCCGCGUGAGCGAAGAAGUAUUUCGGUAUGUAAAGCUCUAUCAGCAGGGAAGAAGAAUGACGGUACCUGACUAAGAAGCACCGGCU